UACAGAGGGUGCGAGCGUUGUUCGGAAUGAUUGGGCGUAAAGGGCGCGUAGGCGGUCACGCACGUCCGUUGUGAAAUCGCUCGGCUCAACUGGGCGGGGUCAGCGGAUACGGUGUGACUGGAGCAAGCUAGGGGGCAAUGGAAUUCCCGGUGUAGUGGUGGAAUGCGUAGAUAUCGGGAGGAACACCAGUGGCGAAGGCGGUUGCCUGGGGCUUUGCUGACGCUGAUGCGCGAAAGCGUGGGGAGCGAGCCGG
Molecule: ribosomal RNA, 253 nt
Filed under: uncultured bacterium
Lineage: Bacteria
Description: partial 16S ribosomal RNA
Rfam family: Bacterial small subunit ribosomal RNA
Source: RNAcentral